Molecule: ribosomal RNA, 301 nt
Filed under: uncultured bacterium
Lineage: Bacteria
Description: partial 16S ribosomal RNA
Rfam family: Bacterial small subunit ribosomal RNA
Source: RNAcentral
CAGUCGCCACGGGAACACGUAGGGUGCGAGCGUUAAUCGGAAUUACUGGGCGUAAAGCGUGCGCAGGCGGUUGUGUAAGACAGGUGUGAAAUCCCCGAGCUUAACCUGGGAACUGCGCUUGUGACUGCACAGCUAGAGUAUGGCAGAGGGGGGUGGAAUUCCACGUGUAGCAGUGAAAUGCGUAGAGAUGUGGAGGAACACCGAUGGCGAAGGCAGCCCCCUGGGCCAAUACUGACGCUCAUGCACGAAAGCGUGGGGAGCAAACAGGACUAGAUACCCCCGUAGUCCCUGUCUCUUAUAC